UAGUAGAGGUGUACCAGGAACUAACAUCACCACUCUGUUCAUCUGGGUAGAGGAAAGUAGACAGGAGGGUAGUCAGGAGACGCUGUAGAAACUCUGAUACUGAUAGGUGAUAAUAAGGUGAAACAUGGAGCACUUCAAGCCAGCAUUUAACUGUCUGACCAGUGUAUCAUCUACAUGUUGUUUCCAGCUCUGAUAUUGUUUUUCUUCAUUCUCUGGUUGGAAGGAGAGUUUCAACGAGUUUCUUGAGAAUUACACGCAUAUGCAGAUGUAAUUUGUGGAGAAGAUUCUUCUCAAUCCUCAUUAAGGCGACAGUGUUGCUGUGGGUUGUGUCUGUGUUUAUUGAUGGACACUGGUACGUGUGCCUUAAAAGAGUGAUGCUUCCCUGUAGGAACAACACCACACCAUUCCAAGAGGAACUAGAAAAGCAACUCGAAGCUCGUUUCAAAACGGAGUUCAUGGUUAUUGGAUUGGUUCUGGUUCUGGUUCUGCUUGUUGUGACUUAUAUUCUGACUGCAAUACAUUGGAGGGAUAUCUGUUCUGUUAUACGCAGAAAAUGUACAAGGUGCCAGAACAUUAACGAUUGCAAUACAUUCAAAAUGUAUCACAUGAUGGUUUAUGAGGAGAGUAUUUUGGAAGACAUAGACAUUGUUUUUGAAAAAGAGUUAAAGAGAACAGCUAAAGAGCAUGUAGUUCUUAAAAUCGGAAAAGUACUACCGCCCUCUUCGACUGCAGCCCCUCCAACCCCCGCCACACAGGGAGGAGACGGGCCAACCUCGACAACCCCCGCCACACAGGGAGGAGACGGGCCAACCUCGACAACCCCCGCCACAUAGGGAGGAGACGGGCCAACCUCGAAAACCCCCGCCACACAGGGAGGAGACGGGCCAACCACUACAACCCCCACCACACAGGGAGAAGACAGGGGCAAGCAGCACCACCCGUCCUGAGAUGGAAGAUAGUAGGAGCAGCACCAGUCCUGAGGUGGAAGAUAGUAGCAGCAGCACCAGUCCUGAGGUGGAAGAUAGUAGCAGCAGCACCAGUCCUGAGGUGGAAGAUAGUAGGAGCAGCACCAGUCCUGAGGUGGAAGAUAGUAGGAGCAGCACCAGUCCUGAGGUGGAAGAUAGUAGGAACAGCACCCAUCCUGAGGUGGAAGAUAGUAGCAGCAGCACCAGUCCUGAGGUGGAAGAUAGUAGGAGCAGCACCAGUCCUGAGGUGGAAGAUAGUAGGAGCAGCACCAGUCCUGAGGUGGAAGAUAGUAGCAGCAGCACCAGUCCUGAGGUGGAAGAUAGUAGGAGCAGCACCAGUCCUGAGGUGGAAGAUAGUAGGAGCAGCACCAGUCCUGAGGUGGAAGAUAGUAGCAGCAGCACCAGUCCUGAGGUGGAAGAUAGUAGGAGCAGCACCAGUCCUGAGGUGGAAGAUAGUAGCAGCAGCACCAGUCCUGAGGUGGAAGAUAGUAGGAGCAGCACCAGUCCUGAGGUGGAAGAUAGUAGGAAUAGCACCCAUCCUGAGGUGGAAGAUAGAGUGAUCACCCUUGACAACCUUGAUUUUGACAAGAUAUCUACUCUACAUUCUCAAAUAAUCUGCUCGAUGUUCCCAGAACAAACACAUUCAAGGAACGAAAGCUGAAGAAGUGGCCAGAUGCCACUACUUGAGGAAGGCUCUCAACCCUAACUUUGGUAUAAUAUAUUUAGCAUCAGAUAUGUAAAUUUAUAUGUACAUUAAUAGUAUGAUACACUGUAUGUGAACCGUUUGUGAAAACUGUGGCUUUCAAGUGAAAUACUCAAAUCAGUCACACAAAAAUUAACUGUAGUGAGCAGCGACCAUGUGUUUAUAAGGCUACAUCUGUCUCACAAUAAACUGUGUUUCUGGUUAAGGUGGCAGCAGUAGUUUGGUACAAUACAACCAGCAUGGGUUAUAUGAUGGGGAGUGAGCAACUGUGGGUGAUAAACCUUAACAACUACACUGUAUAAGUCUGUAUAAUGUCACAGGGUGGUAAUGUGAGCCGGGUAGCAAACAUGAGCCUGUUAGAACACAGUGAUGGUUGACAGAGCUGUUCUAAAUCAUCUUUAUUUCUAGACUAUAAACAAUGUAACCUUCAUUAAUGAAUAUGUGUUAAUAUAACCAGUGAAAUAUUGUUUUUGUCUUUUUGUUCAUAUGUUGUUACUGUUGAUUAUAUUCUGCCUUUAUGUCUACCUUUAACAAAAAUAUAUAUUUAUAUAUAAUAUUACUAACAAUCUGUAUUUCCUGUCUUCAAUGUACCACAUUU
Molecule: RNA transcript, 2266 nt
Organism: Oncorhynchus masou masou (cherry salmon)
Lineage: Eukaryota; Metazoa; Chordata; Actinopteri; Salmoniformes; Salmonidae
Exons: 2
Source: RefSeq, a predicted model, not a curated record